RNAcentral lists this transfer RNA (58 nucleotides) under Loxodonta africana (African savanna elephant). It matches the Rfam family "tRNA", at positions 1 to 63 of the family's 71-position model. From Rfam's summary of the family: Transfer RNA (tRNA) molecules are approximately 80 nucleotides in length. Their secondary structure includes four short double-helical elements and three loops (D, anti-codon, and T loops). The record is from Rfam by way of RNAcentral. Lineage: Eukaryota; Metazoa; Chordata; Mammalia; Proboscidea; Elephantidae.
UGGCCCAGUGGCUAAAGUGCUUGGCUGCUAACCAAAAGGUCAGUGGUUCGAACCCACU